GCCCGGGUGGUCUAGUGGUAUGAUUCGCGCUUAGGGUCCACACCUGAGCAUUACCUGCGCGAGGUCCCCGGUUCAAUCCCGGGCUCGGGCC
This is a non-coding RNA of Penicillium egyptiacum, 91 nucleotides long. Lineage: Eukaryota; Fungi; Ascomycota; Eurotiomycetes; Eurotiales; Aspergillaceae. The record is from the annotation of a GenBank genome assembly.